Molecule: ribosomal RNA, 253 nt
Filed under: uncultured bacterium
Lineage: Bacteria
Description: partial 16S ribosomal RNA
Rfam family: Bacterial small subunit ribosomal RNA
Source: RNAcentral
UACGUAGGGUGCGAGCGUUGUCCGGAAUUAUUGGGCGUAAAGGGCUCGUAGGCGGUUUGUCGCGUCGGGUGUGAAAUCCACUGGCUUAACUGGUGGCUUGCUUUCGAUACGGGCAGACUGGAGGUAUGCAGGGGAGAGCGGAAUUCCUGGUGUAGCGGUGAAAUGCGCAGAUAUCAGGAGGAACACCGGUGGCGAAGGCGGUUCUCUGGGCAUGUCCUGACGCUGAGGAGCGAAAGUGUGGGGAGCGAACAGG